Molecule: long non-coding RNA, 404 nt
Filed under: Olea europaea (common olive)
Lineage: Eukaryota; Viridiplantae; Streptophyta; Magnoliopsida; Lamiales; Oleaceae
Description: long non-coding RNA (OEUR_LNC013874)
Source: RNAcentral
UUGGAUGAAGUGGCACAUGGCCUCAUCUCCUUAGUUUAAACGUCUGUUCUUAGGCAUGGGAUUUGACUUGCUAGCUUACGGCGCAUUUAUUGCUUGUGCAGGGCCUCCAUGCUAGUGACAAGACUUGACCUUUAUGCUUAUGACAAACAUUCCAUCAAUCAUUCGAAUAAGAUCUGUGCAGGCAAUCUCUUGGGAGAAGUGACCAUGGAGGAUGUUUCCUUGUGGUUGAGGCUCGCGCAUCAGCUUCGGGGCUUCGUCCAUUUGAGGACCUCAGCUACAACCACAAGCUUCCACGCCUCGUGCCAUGGGCCUCGGUUAGAAGCAGUUCGGAUAUAACCCACCUCGGCAAUGUGGGACACCUCGGCAGGAAUGCCACGUGGAUCAGGAUGAGUGGGCCACUGGUC